Molecule: ribosomal RNA, 419 nt
Filed under: uncultured bacterium
Lineage: Bacteria
Description: bacterial SSU rRNA
Rfam family: Bacterial small subunit ribosomal RNA
Source: RNAcentral
AAGGAAUAUUGCUCAAUGGGAGAAAUCCUGAAGCAGUAACGCCGCGUGGAGGAUGAAGGGUCUAUGACUUGUAAACUCCUGUAAAGAAGGAAAAAAUUCCCAUUAGAUGGGAGAUGAUGGUACUUCUGGAGUAAGCCCCGGCUAACUACGUGCCAGCAGCCGCGGUAAUACGUAGGGGGCAAGCGUUGUCCGGAUUUACUGGGUGUAAAGGGUGCUCAGGCGGAUUUGUAAGUCAGAGGUGAAAUCUUACAGCUUAACUGUGAAACUGCCUUUGAUACUGCAAGCCUAGAGUAUGGAAGAGAGUGAUGGAAUAUCUGGUGUAGCAGUGAAGUGCGUAGAUAUCAGAUAGAACACCAAUGGCGAAGGCAGUCACUUGGUCCAUUACUGACGCUAAAGCACGAAAGCGUGGGUAGCAAACA